This 257-nucleotide ribosomal RNA is filed under the name uncultured bacterium. RNAcentral's name for it is "partial 16S ribosomal RNA". It matches the Rfam family "Bacterial small subunit ribosomal RNA", at positions 524 to 778 of the family's 1533-position model. The record is from RNAcentral.
UACAGAGGUCUCAAGCGUUUGUUCGGAUUCAUUGGGCGUAAAGGGUGCGUAGGCGGCGCGGUAAGUCGGGUGUGAAAUCUCGGGGCUUAACUCCGAAACUGCAUUCGAUACUGCCGUGCUUGAGGACUGGAGAGGAGACUGGAAUUUACGGUGUAGCGGUGAAAUGCGUAGAUAUCGUAAGGAAGACCAGUGGCGAAGGCGGGUCUCUGGACAGUUCCUGACGCUGAGGCACGAAGGUCAGGGGGAGCAAAACGGGG